RNAcentral lists this ribosomal RNA (870 nucleotides) under Bursaphelenchus sp. Its description in RNAcentral is "SSU rRNA". It matches the Rfam family "Eukaryotic small subunit ribosomal RNA", at positions 30 to 926 of the family's 1831-position model. Lineage: Eukaryota; Metazoa; Nematoda; Chromadorea; Rhabditida; Aphelenchoididae. The record is from RNAcentral.
GCUUGUCUCAAAGAUUAAGCCAUGCAUGUCUAAGUGGAGUAUUAUACAGCGAAACUGCGAACGGCUCAUUACAACAGAUAUAAUUUACUAGUUCUUGAUCCUAUAUGGAUAACUGCGGUAAUUCUGGAGCCAAUACAUGCAUCAAGCCUCGGCCUUCGGGUUCGGGGUGCAAUUAUUGGAGCAAAACCAGUCUCGUACUGUUUGCUAACUCUGGAUAAUUCUGCUUAUCGCAUGGUCUCGUACCGGCGAAGUUUCUUUCAAGUAUCUGCUUUAUCAACUAUCGUUGGUAGUUUAUUGGACUACCACGGUGUUGACGGGUAACGGAGAAUCAGGGUUUGACUCCGGAGAGGGAGCCUUAGAAACGGCUACCAUGUCUAAGGAUAGCAGCAGGCGCGAAAAUUACCCAAUAUCAAAACGAUGAGGUAGUGACGAGAAAUAACGAGAUCGUUCUCUUUGAGGUCGAUUAUUGGAAUGAGUACAAUCCAGAAAUUUUAACGAGUACCUACGAGAGGGCAAGUCUGGUGCCAGCAGCCGCGGUAAUUCCAGCUCUCGUAAUGUAUAGAAUUAUUGUUGCGAUUAAAAAGUUCGUAGUUGGAUUGUCACGCGGGUAUGGGUCCGGCCUCGUGCCGCGUACUCAAUGCCCGCAUUUUGUUGGUGUUCGCGGCGGCGAUUCGUCGUCGUCCGUGAUGCCAGCAGGAUUACUUUGAACGGCUCAAGUGCUCAAAGCGAGUCUUAUGACUGAAUACCGGUGCAUGGAAUAAUGGAACAAGGUUGCGGCCGAGUUUUAUUGGUUUUGUCGGCUGAAACAAUGGUUAACAGGAACAGCCGGGGGCAUUCGUAUCGCUGCGCGAGAGGUGAAAUUCUUGGACC